AUUAAAUAUGAUUAAUUUUUUUUCUAAAAAAACGAGUUUUAAUUCAAAUUAAUUCUUUCCCAUUCUGAAAUUGGAUAUAAGCAUUUCCGUUUGUUUUAAAAGGAGGAAAAAACGACAAAAUUCACUUCCUUUAGUCCGAUUUCAUAGAUUGUGUGUUAGUGAAUUCAUAUCAGAUACAGCUGCGCUUUAGAAUCAUACUAUUCCUUGCAAUCUAAUUACUAAGGUUUAUAAAAUAAUUCCGGGGUUUAUGAAGUGCCUGUAGUAGUAAUCGAUAAACUCCCUGUUGUUAAUCGUAAACUACAAAAAUCUAUUUGGUAAAACCCAUUUUAAGAACAUUAGUCCAUCAGAAUGCUCAUAAACUCGUGAAGAAAACUUAGAAAACCCCACGUGGGUAGCCUGCUGGUGAUGUGUGAACCCACGACAAACUACCGGUUUUUCAGAAAUGAAAAAAGUACCCGAGUGGUUUGUUACACAUGGAAAAUUAAAUACUUAUAUAAUCUUCACAGUGUAACUCUUUGCACUUAACUCAGGUAAGUGCUAAAUGUUUACUUGUGGUAGUGAUGGUAUGGGCAUCUACUUUGCGUUAUACCAUUGUCGCAGUAAUUAAGUGAAAAUAAUAUAUAUAUUUUAAAUUAUAUCCAUUUUUGUAUGAAUUAUAUUUACUUUAUUAAUUUUUAAUUUUUUGCUAAUAGAUGGCGCUACAUGUAAACACAGCAAAUCCAAUGUAGACAGAAAUCAAUUGAUAUAUUGAAAUCCAAUAAAUAUUUUGGGCUGAUAUAUAGGACGUUAUCUAAGCUAGCAUUUAUGUUAACGGAACUGCUGCGCUUCGAAACAAUUGGUCGAACGGCCUAGGAGUGCAUAGCGAACAAACAAAUUUUCUUAUUUAUACAUAUAGACAAUUUUAUGUAUAUUAUAAAUAAAAAUUUAAACAUGGAAAUUGAAGAUAAGUAUUGAAAAGAAAUUACAAAAGCAAGAUAACAAGUAUAGAAAAUAUAAAGUAAAAAGGUUGAACAAGAAGAUUAAUUUUCCAACAAAUAAAAAACAAAUGUUAAGAGAAUAAUGUUAUGGUUAAGAAAUAUAAUAUUAAUAUAGUCGCAACGUAUUAAAAAUCCAGCAGCGAGUUGUGAAACUUUUCCAUCAACAAUAUUGUAGUGGCUGUUAUGAUAUUUUAGAAAAAUUGUAAUGUUAUUAAUUAUUAUAAAGUGGAAAAAAAGCUUAAUUUUGCAGGCAGAGAUGAGUUUUAUCAAUAUAAAAUAUUGUAAAUGCUAAUAACGAAAAAAAUCUUCAUUGAGCCCGAUCCUACUCGAGAUAUGACAUAUGAUCCACUCUAUUUCCCCAUCUCUUUGGCAUUUAAUUAAAGCAGCUGUAAAGUUUUAUCUAAAAAAUAAUAUAGCAACGAGUAUUUGAUUUUCCGGAGUAUUUGACGGCACCAUCUGUUAAGAUAUUUUAUUUUAAAAACUUUUUAUAUUUUUAAUUAUUAUAAAAUGGAAAAAUCUUAAUUUUAAGGGUAUUAAGGAUAGGGAUGAGUUUUAUAAAAAAAAAAUUGUUAAUGCUAAUAACGAGUAAAAUCGUCAUUAAAUUUGACACUACUCGAGAUACGCCACACGACUCCCAUUAUUUCUUCACCCCUUGACCUUUGAUCAUCAAAAUUUAAACAGCGUCAAUCAUCCUAAUAAACAAACCACCCAA
Long non-coding RNA from Centruroides sculpturatus (bark scorpion), 1689 nucleotides. RefSeq lists it as uncharacterized. Lineage: Eukaryota; Metazoa; Arthropoda; Arachnida; Scorpiones; Buthidae. The transcript is spliced from 3 exons. The record is from RefSeq and is a predicted model, not a curated record.